RNAcentral lists this ribosomal RNA (301 nucleotides) under uncultured bacterium. RNAcentral's name for it is "partial 16S ribosomal RNA". It matches the Rfam family "Bacterial small subunit ribosomal RNA", at positions 509 to 807 of the family's 1533-position model. The record is from RNAcentral.
CAGUCGCCGCGGGAAUACAGAGGGUGCGAGCGUUAAUCGGAUUUACUGGGCGUAAAGCGUGCGUAGGCGGCUUCUUAAGUCGGAUGUGAAAUCCCUGAGCUUAACUUAGGAAUUGCAUUCGAUACUGGGAAGCUAGAGUAUGGGAGAGGAUGGUAGAAUUCCAGGUGUAGCGGUGAAAUGCGUAGAGAUCUGGAGGAAUACCGAUGGCGAAGGCAGCCAUCUGGCCUAAUACUGACGCUGAGGUACGAAAGCAUGGGGAUCAAACAGGAUUAGAUACCCGUGUAGUCCCUGUCUCUUAUAC